GUCGCCUCCUAAAUAGUAACGGAGGCGUACAAAGGUUUCCUCUGAACGGGUAGAAAUCGUAUCUAGAGUAUAAAGGCAAAAGGAAGCUUGACUGUGAGACCUACAAGUCGAGCAGGGUCGAAAGACGGAUAUAGUGAUCCGGUGGUUCUGUAUGGAAGGGCCAUCGCUCAAAGGAUAAAAGGUACUCCGGGGAUAACAGGCUGAUCUCCCCCAAGAGCUCAUAUCGAC
Molecule: ribosomal RNA, 228 nt
Filed under: Isochrysis galbana
Lineage: Eukaryota; Haptophyta; Isochrysidales; Isochrysidaceae
Description: partial Bacterial large subunit ribosomal RNA
Rfam family: Bacterial large subunit ribosomal RNA
Source: RNAcentral